This 433-nucleotide ribosomal RNA is filed under the name uncultured bacterium. Its description in RNAcentral is "partial 16S ribosomal RNA". It matches the Rfam family "Bacterial small subunit ribosomal RNA", at positions 29 to 507 of the family's 1533-position model. The record is from RNAcentral.
AACGAACGCUGGCGGCAUGCCUAAUACAUGCAGGUCGAACGAGAUCUUCGGAUCUAGUGGCGCACGGGUGCGUAACGCGUGGGAAUCUGCCCUUGGGUUCGGAAUAACUUCUGGAAACGGAAGCUAAUACCGGAUGAUGACGUAAGUCCAAAGAUUUAUCGCCCAAGGAUGAGCCCGCGUAGGAUUAGGUAGUUGGUGAGGUAAAGGCUCACCAAGCCGACGAUCCUUAGCUGGUCUGAGAGGAUGAUCAGCCACACUGGGACUGAGACACGGCCCAGACUCCUACGGGAGGCAGCAGUAGGGAAUAUUGGACAAUGGGCGAAAGCCUGAUCCAGCAAUGCCGCGUGAGUGAUGAAGGCCUUAGGGUUGUAAAGCUCUUUUACCCGGGAUGAUAAUGACAGUACCGGGAGAAUAAGCGCCGGCUAACUCCGUG